AGAAAGAAAAAAAAGCAAAACAAACCAUUCCCAUUCUCUCUCUCUUUCUUUUAAUGAACAUACAUACUGAUUUAGAGCCAUCACUGAAUUGGGUUUCAAAUUCAUAAAAAUUGUGCAAAACUCAGGAAAGCCCUGGAAAAUGGACAAAUCUGCCCUUUAAAUGACUUUCACCAGGAACCUCCAAUCUUACUAAUCAAACUAUAAAGUACAUACUUCACCUGAAAAAUAUGAGGAUAAACAAGGAGCACUGCAAAUGAAAUAAGUGUGGAAGCAGCUUUCAGGCUGAAGAUAAGAUCUAAGCUGGAAGUCCAGUCUGAGCACCAUGAGUCUAUCAAAUCCCUGGGAAAAGAUGCCUGCAUAAACUUCAGCCUGUUCAGCCUGCACUGUUAAUUCACAAGAUCCUGAUAGCAUGUGGUAGAUGUCCUUCUGAGGUGCUUUACUAGGAAUGUUAUUUGCAGUAAUAUGAUAACUAUAACCUGAGAAAAUUGUGGUUUUCAUUAAUUUAUGUGUUCUGUCUCCCAUUACCUCUUUUCUUACUUGGAAUCUAAAUUUUACUGUUAAUUGUUGAGAUUUUUACAACUUUGCUUUAUACUUACAUGGCAAUGUACAGCUAGAGUGAGAUGCAAAUUUACAAAGCUUUUAAACAUUGCCUUCAUUCUAAACUGCAAAAAGAGUUUAGUGCUGAAGUCCUUAUCUGACUCUAAAUUCACCUCUUCCUCAGAAUGAGACACUCCUGUUCUUCUGAAAUACAUGUUACCUGGGUAACACUGUCCCCUUUACUGUCUUCCUAAUUUCAUAACGUCUAGGUGUUGCAAUACAACAAAUAUAUUCAAACUUUGUCUAAUGUGCAACAAUGAAAAGAAGGCUCUUAUAAUAAGUUGUCACCAAGGGCUCCUCUCUAAUCCUGGGAGUUUUAAAGAAAAUAAUUUCCCUGGAGAACCUGGGAAAAUAAAACAAAUAGGAACAAAAAUGUAAUGGAAAUUCCCUUAUAUGAUGGUGUUUUAAAGACUGACAUGUCAUAUAGUUGGUAUGGCAGAAUUGCCACUGGAAAACCCUAGAAAUGAAUGAGCAAUCCCACCCACAACUUUUCCCCCUCUUCUGGUUAGUGGAGGUGCUACUGAAGAACAGCUGCAUCAGCACAUAGAACCAAAAGACGGGAUAUCAAAUUCUGCACCUGGUUUUAUCACAUAGUAGCUGUAUAGCACCUGCCACAAAUUAAAAAUUCUUCUAGUUACGUUUCCAUGUCUGUAAAGAGGGGACUAUAAUAUUUCACUUGAAAAGAGUGAUAUCAGUUGCCACACUUAGAUUCAAAUUACAGAGUCAGUGUUACAGUAAAGGAAUAGUGUCCUACCAUCCAUUUUAAUAAGUAUGAGUAGAAAAAGUUUAAACUGGAAUCACAUCUCCACAGGACAAUCUGGUGUUUAUUACACAUAACUGCUAACAUCGCAAUGUGUGAGGGAUGCGUGUGGAUAUCAACGCAUCUGUAAAAGUUCAGCAGGUUGGAUCCUUCUUCCUUGGCAACAUUUUUGAACAACUUUUAUUGAAUGCAAUAUGCUCUGUUUGAAUAGUAAAAGCUAACUGCUGCCAGGAAAUAAAUUCAAGAUGAAAGUCUUUAUUAUUGCUGUUCCAGGAAGAAAGACUGAGCUUCUUCUGGGCAGAACUGCAUGAAGAGCACUGCAGGUAUCAUUCAGUUGUGCUCUGCU
This is a long non-coding RNA of Cygnus atratus (black swan), 1703 nucleotides long. RefSeq lists it as uncharacterized. NCBI's taxonomy places the organism in Eukaryota, Metazoa, Chordata, Aves, Anseriformes, Anatidae. The transcript has 3 exons. The record is from RefSeq and is a predicted model, not a curated record.